Non-coding RNA from Rattus norvegicus (Norway rat), 1084 nucleotides. The record is from RefSeq and is a predicted model, not a curated record. NCBI's taxonomy places the organism in Eukaryota, Metazoa, Chordata, Mammalia, Rodentia, Muridae.
AGAUUGGGGAAGUCCAGAGCCUCUGACUUCAGCAGAUAAAUUCUUCCACUGAUUGGGCAUUAAGAGGAGCGACAGAUAAACUGAAAGGGGAAAGGAAGAUAUUGCAUGUAAGGCGCAGAAAUGCAUGCUGUUAGGAAAAAACAAACAAACAAAAACAAGCUGCCACAAACCAUGAUGCUGAACAGAAAUGAACUCUGCAGACACCCUGGGGGAAGCUUGAGAUGGACUCAUCAGUCCCCUAGUUGAUCCUGCAAAUGAGAACGCAUCCUAACCCACACCUUGAUCUCAGCUGGGAGACCCUAAGCCGGCAGAGCAGAGCCCAGACACCUACAGAGACCAGGAGAUAAGAAAUAGGUUGGACAGGGAGGGGCUGAGCUCAGCAGAAGACGCCAUACGGUGUGAUCCUAGGGACUAAAGGGCCUGCCCACCAGUUUCUACCCUUUAUAUGUGCAGCAGACGAAGAUAUGAGAUGCCGAAAGACUGCAGGUCACCUGUCAGUGGUUACGAGGCCAACUGCUUCAAUUUCAGCUUUAAAUGAAACAGUGGGAUAGGACACCUGGGACUUGCAUCAGUCACAUUUUUAUUUCAGAACUGGCCGGAGUCAUUGGGUUUAGUUUGGGUGCCAGUCCAGUAACCAGUCCAAACUCACCUGGGAAAAAGUGCACAGAUUACUUUGUCCACACAGCAUGAAAACUAGUGGAUUGAGUUUGAGUCCAACUCGCCGAGAAAGAAGUUCAGUGCCAAUGAAAGGGGUGCCAUUUUCUGAAAAUGCAUGUCUCUGUCUGCCCUAGCCGAGGCUGAGCCAGGAGGCUCUCAUAAACUUGGUGGCUAGGACUAACCUAUGUGUCUGUUGCUCAGGGUGAAACCAGACUCUUUGCUUUCGGCCCAUUUCUCUAUGGUUUCAGCUUUUAGAGACUGGAGAAGAAAUAAAAGUCAGGGGGCUGGGGAUUUAGCUCAGUGGUAGAGCGCUUGCCUAGGAAGCGCAAGGCCCUGGGUUCGGUCCCCAGCUCUGAAAAAAAGAACCAAACAAAAAAAAAGAAAGAAAGAAAGAAAAGUUAAAAACAUUGACCAGCCAAGGCCCUAG